This 512-nucleotide ribosomal RNA is filed under the name uncultured bacterium. RNAcentral describes it as "partial 16S ribosomal RNA". It matches the Rfam family "Bacterial small subunit ribosomal RNA", at positions 28 to 523 of the family's 1533-position model. The record is from RNAcentral.
GAUGAACGCUGGCGGCGUGCCUAAUACAUGCAAGUCGAGCGAACAGACGAGGAGCUUGCUCCUCUGACGUUAGCGGUGGACGGGUGAGUAACACGUGGAUAACCUACCUAUAAGACUGGGAUAACUUCGGGAAACCGGAGCUAAUACCGGAUAACAUGUUGAACCGCAUGGUUCAACAGUGAAAGACGGUCUUGCUGUCACUUAUAGAUGGAUCCGCGCCGCAUUAGCUAGUUGGUAAGGUAACGGCUUACCAAGGCAACGAUGCGUAGCCGACCUGAGAGGGUGAUCGGCCACACUGGAACUGAGACACGGUCCAGACUCCUACGGGAGGCAGCAGUAGGGAAUCUUCCGCAAUGGGCGAAAGCCUGACGGGGCAACGCCGCGUGAGUGAAGAAGGUCUUCGGAUCGUAAACUCUGUUAUUAGGGAAGAACAAAUGUGUAAGUAACUAUGCACGUCUUGACGGUACCUAAUCAGAAAGCCACGGCUAACUACGUGCCAGCAGCCGCCGUAA